CAAAACCGUACUUGCAAUAAUUCAAUUUAUUUUACUCUUAUAACAGCUUUAAACAAACAAAAAGUAGAGUAAAGGAUUAUCUUGAUAUAGUUGUUCCAAAAACUUAACGAUAUUUAAAAAAAUAUAAACAAUGAUCUUAUCAUAUGUGGUAUAAUAACAUAUAAUUUUAUUUCUUAGAAAUUCAUCGAAAAGAAAUAAUAAUUUCCUUUAAUUAAUCAAUCGUAGCUAAAGUUCAAAGUUUUCGAUAAUUAAUUGGCUUGUAUAAAUUUGUUAAUUACUGCUACUGUGUGUUUUCACUUCUUAUCUCAGACAAAUCUACAAAAUAAACAAAAUGAAAUAAAGUAAAUGCUUCUUUGAAUAUAGAAUUAAUAAAGCCAAUGAUACGGUAGCACGAGGUUUACCUUGCCGAGGUUUAGCUGGCAACCAAGAAUAUAAUGAACUAAAACUACUUACAAUAAAAUCGCCAAUUAUGGUCUUUAACAAGCCCGAGCGUUUUGUAUUCUCGAGUUAAGCUAUCAGGUACAAAGAGCUAAAGAAGACACACUUUUCCGGAUCGUUACAAUUCUCUAACGAUUAUUACCGUCUUUGUGCAUUCAUUAACAAUUAAAGAAAACAAUUUAAACUUCCAUGUUUCAGUUUUAAAUUAUACAGUUUAAUAAAUUUUUGCCUUAAUUAAACAAGAAUUGUAAUUAAUUCACUAAAACUCAAUCGUAACUUAAGUCAAUUUAGUCUACAGUUACAUCAUACAGAGGCAGUCUGACUAUCAUGGUGGGCAUUGCAAUUUAUAAAUGGUAAUAAAAUGCAAUAAUAAUAUUUCUGAUUAUAUUCUAGAUUAACUUGUGCGUAAACACUUGGAGUCAACCGUUAGUGUAAGUGGAGUCCGUCUUGAUUGGUAGCAGAGUGCGAUAGUGAUUCACUAAUAAAAGAUUUUAUGUGCAUCUAACCUGGUGGUCCAACCGGGUCGGUUUCGUUUUAGUGUUAAAUGAAUUGUAUUUUGAAGAAACCAAACCGUUUAUUUCAAGCGAAGAACCCACGUAGGUAUCUCUCAUUUCAUCGAAUUAUUAUUCUGGUUUUUGUCGACACUCGUGUGAGUUCUUCGAUUUAAUUGAGAUCUAGGAAUAAUUUAUUCAAACGUAUCCAAGUGUUUUCCGGUAAUUAUUUUAAAUGUUCAUUCAGUGCUAGAAAAAUAAGAGUAUCACUGAUUGCUUUAAUGUCAUGAUAUGACUCAAUUUAACUAGUAAAUCUACAAUUUAUAAUCAUUUAAAAGAUUUUUCUAUUCAAGUGUUUUUGACUAAGUAAAUGUGCUCCUGAUGGGGUUAAACUUGGACCACCAAGUUAAAAAAAAAUAAGAAAAAAUCUUUUAGAUACAAUGAUUUUAACAUUUAUAAUAUUCUCAUUUUUUCUAUUUUAUUAGAUUAACUUCUUUCAACGUUGAGUUAAAAAUGUUUUCUUAGUCCAUAGAAUAUGGACAAAAUUUAUUAACAAAACUAACAAAACUAACUCUUUAAAUGUUUAAAUCAUUAAAUUGCCUGUGAAAACUUCUAAUAUUAACAUAACCAAAUUACUUUUUUCCAUUCUUUGCAGUAACAUGCCUCAAUAUAUAGGUAUAAAUAUUUUAAUUGCUAAUUUAACAAUUUUCUAUAAUUUCACUGACUGAGUUUUGAAUCAUCUUGCAUUUACACACGAUAACCCUGUGCGUAUGCGCUUAUUAUGGUGCAUCAAUCUUGUUCUCUCACAUUUGUACCCAUAACCACAAUGGUAAUGCCCGCACGUAUAUCCAUGAGCCUAGGAGAUCGUAAUUAAAAUACGAACAGGUAUAUAUGCCGUUUUGCGGCUACGUUUGUGCUCAACGUACGCGCGACCAUGGUUUAUAGCUAUACCUUGAAUUUUAGAACGUAGCUGAUAUACAAAUCAACAAGCAGACAAAUGCUCACUCUGCGUGCACCUUCAGAUCCGUACUUUUGAUGAAUGUUCCCAACUUAUAAAAAAUUAAAAAUUGAGAAAAUAUUAAAACACUAACAAAUAAUAACGUGAAUUUUUGUUAAGCAAAUAGAUUUUGCAAAAUAGCAAUAGAUUGUUACCAUCAGACAUAAAUCCAUUGCUGUUGGAAUUACAGUUUCGCUUAACAUGGCAAACAGGAGAGUUAAAUGUUUACAUCUCCGUAGAAAUAAUAUUGCAACCGAAGCAGACAAGGCUUAUUCGCGGCAAAAGGUAACGAAAUUCUGGUACGAACAAACAACGGCUUGAAUUGAUAUAAAUUGAAACAACAGUGGCAGACGAAGAAUUACAUUCUUGCAUCACCAAACUCGGCGCGUAUGACCGUUAUUAUGCAGGUGCAUCGCAUCGUGGGCAGACAAAGCCAAACGCAACGGCGGCGCCGGUGGUAGCGGUACGCGGCAAAAUAGAAAAGCGGAUGCAUGUUAACGUGCCAUUCAUCAUGAGAGAAAGCGAACGCCCGUACACGCACUGCGGUUUGAUCGCAGUCCUUUUGCCCGUGCGCCACCUCGCCAUGUAUUUGCUGCGUAGGUCCGCCACUGCGCUCGGCGUAAUGAAAAGUUGCGUAUUGCGUUUGCGCUGCCUUUGUGUUACUAUCAACGAGUACACCUGUACUACAUGAUGUGCUGCGGUAAACUUCAUAGAAGAAUAGGGCAUGCCGGCCUUUGGUCGGCUUUCAACCACUACGACCAGCGCGGCAAAGUCCAGCACAUGAGUGAAAUAUGAAAAUUAAAAUAACAUGCGUUCUUUUAUACGUGCAAUUUUAUACGGCAUAUGAGCAUGAAGUUUUGGAUAGUAUAUACAAAGGAAUACAUAAACGUGUUUCGCUUUACAUUUUUGAUAUGUUUAUCUUUAUUUUAGACAAAUCUUUUUUUCUAAUAUAUAUUAUUAAUAUUGUAAUAUAGUAUAUUGUGCAUUUAAUAUAUUGUACCAAAAACAGAACCAAUACAAAAAAUGUUUUUGAUGUCAAA
Long non-coding RNA from Dalotia coriaria, 2966 nucleotides. RefSeq lists it as uncharacterized. The record is from RefSeq and is a predicted model, not a curated record. NCBI's taxonomy places the organism in Eukaryota, Metazoa, Arthropoda, Insecta, Coleoptera, Staphylinidae. The transcript has 2 exons.